This 217-nucleotide ribosomal RNA is filed under the name uncultured bacterium. Its description in RNAcentral is "partial 16S ribosomal RNA". It matches the Rfam family "Bacterial small subunit ribosomal RNA", at positions 1284 to 1500 of the family's 1533-position model. The record is from RNAcentral.
UUACUCAGUUCAGGUUGCAGGCUGCAACCCGCCUGCAUGAAGUCGGAAUUGCUAGUAAUCGCGGAUCAGCAUGCCGCGGUGAAUACGUUCCCGGGCCUUGUACACACCGCCCGUCACACCAUGAGAGUCGGGAACACCCGAAGUCCGUAGUCUAACCGCAAGGGGGACGCGGCCGAAGGUGGGUUCGAUAAUUGGGGUGAAGUCGUAACAAGGUAUC